GAUGAACGCUGGCGGCGUGCCUAAUACAUGCAAGUCGAGCGAACAGACGAGGAGCUUGCUCCUCUGACGUUAGCGGCGGACGGGUGAGUAACACGUGGAUAACCUACCUAUAAGACUGGGAUAACUUCGGGAAACCGGAGCUAAUACCGGAUAAUAUAUUGAACCGCAUGGUUCAAUAGUGAAAGACGGUUUUGCUGUCACUUAUAGAUGGAUCCGCGCCGCAUUAGCUAGUUGGUAAGGUAACGGCUUACCAAGGCAACGAUGCGUAGCCGACCUGAGAGGGGGAUCGGCCAAACUGGAACUGAGACACGGUCCAGACUCCUACGGGAGGCAGCAGUAGGGAAUCUGCCGCAAUGGGCGAAAGCCUGACGGAGCAACGCCGCGGGAGUGAUGAAGGUCUUCGGAUCGUAAAACUCUGUUAUUAGGGAAGAACAAAUGUGUAAGUAACUAUGCACGUCUUGACGGUACCUAAUCAGAAAGCCACGGCUAACUACGU
RNAcentral lists this ribosomal RNA (496 nucleotides) under uncultured bacterium. Its description in RNAcentral is "partial 16S ribosomal RNA". It matches the Rfam family "Bacterial small subunit ribosomal RNA", at positions 28 to 506 of the family's 1533-position model. The record is from RNAcentral.